CGGCAGCUACACAUGCAGUCGAGCGGUAGCACAGAGAGCUUGCUCUCGGGUGACGAGCGGCGGACGGGUGAGUAAUGUCUGGGAAACUGCCUGAUGGAGGGGGAUAACUACUGGAAACGGUAGCUAAUACCGCAUAAUGUCGCAAGACCAAAGUGGGGGACCUUCGGGCCUCAUGCCAUCAGAUGUGCCCAGAUGGGAUUAGCUAGUAGGUGGGGUAACGGCUCACCUAGGCGACGAUCCCUAGCUGGUCUGAGAGGAUGACCAGCCACACUGGAACUGAGACACGGUCCAGACUCCUACGGGAGGCAGCAGUGGGGAAUAUUGCACAAUGGGCGCAAGCCUGAUGCAGCCAUGCCGCGUGUAUGAAGAAGGCCUUCGGGUUGUAAAGUACUUUCAGCGGGGAGGAAGGCGAUAAGGUUAAUAACCUUGUCGAUUGACGUUACCCGCAGAAGAAGCACCGGCUAACUCCGUGCCAGCAGCCGCGGUAAUACGGAGGGUGCAAGCGUUAAUCGGAAUUACUGGGCGUAAAGCGCACGCAGGCGGUCUGUCAAGUCGGAUGUGAAAUCCCCGGGCUCAACCUGGGAACUGCAUUCGAAACUGGCAGGCUAGAGUCUUGUAGAGGGGGGUAGAAUUCCAGGUGUAGCGGUGAAAUGCGUAGAGAUCUGGAGGAAUACCGGUGGCGAAGGCGGCCCCCUGGACAAAGACUGACGCUCAGGUGCGAAAGCGUGGGGAGCAAACAGGAUUAGAUACCCUGGUAGUCCACGCCGUAAACGAUGUCGAUUUGGAGGUUGUGCCCUUGAGGCGUGGCUUCCGGAGCUAACGCGUUAAAUCGACCGCCUGGGGAGUACGGCCGCAAGGUUAAAACUCAAAUGAAUUGACGGGGGCCCGCACAAGCGGUGGAGCAUGUGGUUUAAUUCGAUGCAACGCGAAGAACCUUACCUGGUCUUGACAUCCACAGAACUUAGCAGAGAUGGUUUGGUGCCUUCGGGAACUGUGAGACAGGUGCUGCAUGGCUGUCGUCAGCUCGUGUUGUGAAAUGUUGGGUUAAGUCCCGCAACGAGCGCAACCCUUAUCCUUUGUUGCCAGCGGUCCGGCCGGGAACUCAAAGGAGACUGCCAGUGAUAAACUGGAGGAAGGUGGGGAUGACGUCAAGUCAUCAUGGCCCUUACGACCAGGGCUACACACGUGCUACAAUGGCGCAUACAAAGAGAAGCGACCUCGCGAGAGCAAGCGGACCUCAUAAAGUACGUCGUAGUCCGGAUUGGAGUCUGCAACUCGACUCCAUGAAGUCGGAAUCGCUAGUAAUCGUAGAUCAGAAUGCUACGGUGAAUACGUUCCCGGGCCUUGUACACACCGCCCGUCACACCAUGGGAGUGGGUUGCAAAAGAAGUAGGUAGCUUAACCUUCGGGAGGCGCUA
Molecule: ribosomal RNA, 1418 nt
Filed under: Klebsiella quasipneumoniae subsp. quasipneumoniae
Lineage: Bacteria; Pseudomonadati; Pseudomonadota; Gammaproteobacteria; Enterobacterales; Enterobacteriaceae
Description: bacterial SSU rRNA
Rfam family: Bacterial small subunit ribosomal RNA
Source: RNAcentral